Long non-coding RNA from Bos indicus x Bos taurus (hybrid cattle), 1708 nucleotides. Lineage: Eukaryota; Metazoa; Chordata; Mammalia; Artiodactyla; Bovidae. The record is from Ensembl.
AUUUGUAGCACUUAUAAGAAUAAAGAAGUCAGAAGGCUGACUAGGUUUCAAAAAGGAAAUGUGAUUUUGGUUUUGAAAACUCAUUUAUGCUAAAAUGCCAGCAGUACAGACAAAGAGAGAAGUCCAGCAGAUUGUUGGAAUUAAAGGUCUGGAAUCCAGGAGGCAAGAGAGUCCUGGAGGGAAGCUCUAUAGAGGUAAGGAGUGGUCACUGAGGUCACAGCAGUGGAUAACACUACUGAGAGAGAGAAGAAGAGGUGGGGGAAGGGGAGGAGAGAAAGACAGCCGAGGGAAAGACUCUUUGAGAAUGUUUUUCUUUUUCUUUUCCUCAGCUGAGGAGGAGUCACUUAGAAAACCUGAGAAAGACUAUUCUUUGUUGCAGGAGGAGAACUACUGCUAUUACAAUGUACAGGAGUCAUUUCAAGAAGAGGAUGUCAACAGGGUCAUUUUAAACCCUGGAGUGGGUAAAGGUGAAGGUUCUUUGAGUUAUGAAAGCACAAUGAGUGAAUGGAGAGACGGUCGAGUAGGAUAAGAUAAGAAUGUUAACAAUCUCCAUUGAAGACAACAGGCAAAGGUCCUGGAAUUGGAGUCAUGAGACUUGGGUCUCCAGCCAGGGCUUUGUCACUGGUGAGCUGAGAGGCUGAGGCAGGUUACUGCCCCACUGGGUGUCACUGCAAAACAAGGGGCUUGAGCAAAACAAAUCUCUGGGCUGUUUUCCAACUGUUUGAUACUGUGAAUAGAAAGACAGAACAUAAUUAUGUCUUAUUUGGGAGCUGCAUUGCCCUUGUCUGAAAACUCAAGUUUGGGGACAGCAAGUAGACUUCACUUUGUUUACCAAUCUGUUCUAGCUGUGUUGAUUGCCUGAAAUGUGGGAAAGGGUAGCGUAAAUGACUACAAGAUCUUCCAUGCGAGGGCAGGCAGUUACAUCCCUAGUGCCUCAUUUGUCUCUUUUCCUGCUCUUUCACAGCUAAUAAUCCUUCUGUGAAACUUUUAAUUGCAUCUAGGCUGCCUAAAAUACAAGUACCAUCAGAUCAUAAAGUCCCAUGCCCAGUACAAAGCCUGUUACCUGACAAGUACUCAGUAGCAUUUUUUGAAUGAAUGAAUAUGGGUCUGUAUACUAAGGGCCUGUCUAGAGCGAUAGCACAACCAAAGGAGAGGACCGCAAUAGCACUGGACUCAUAUAGAGAGAACAGUCCUAUUUCACGUGUUGUCUAAGGGUACUUGCUAACACUGGUUUUUAUUUUCUCUGAGACUGAAUGUCAGCUCUUAACUUGAUAGAGGAGAGUACAGCAAUGAUGGGAAGAGGAAUUUCCCUGGGAUUCAGUGAACACUUCAUUUGGAUAUUGCUUCUUUCUUGAAUGCUUUCACUGAGAGUUUGAAUAGGAGGCCAUCAGCUUGAGAAAAGAUUUAAAAUGGAUCCUAGCUGCUCCUUAUUGCUCAGAUUUUCCAACCACAGGUGAAGUUUCCCUGUGUCUUGAAGACCUCAUUCUGCUCCCCUGUACUCUUCGUUUGUGUUGGAGGGGGCACAUUAUUAUAGUUGGGUAUUAAGCUUUUCGGAAGGCUGAGAGAGAAGGAGGCUUUCUUGGUAAGCCUGGCUCUGUGGCUUGGCAGUCACACAAGAAAAUGACUUUAUCCCCAAACCAGAUGUUCAAGUUGUUUUAAUAAUAUCUUAUGAGCCCUCCUCUAAAUAAAACAAAAACUCACUCUAUCA